Molecule: ribosomal RNA, 180 nt
Filed under: uncultured Glomeromycotina
Lineage: Eukaryota; Fungi; Glomeromycota
Description: partial small subunit ribosomal RNA
Source: RNAcentral
GGCCUGGUUGGGCGGUCCGCCUCACGGCGAGUACUGUUCGGCCGGGUCUUACCUCUUGGUGAGCCUGCAUGCCCUUUACUGGGUGUGUAGGGGAACCAGGACUUUUACCUUGAGAAAAUUAGAGUGUUCAAAGCAGGCCUACGCCUGAAUACAUUAGCAUGGCAUAAUAAAAUAGGACCU